UGGGGGAUAUUGCACAAUGGGCGAAAGCCUGAUGCAGCGACGCCGCGUGGGGGAUGAAGGCCUUCGGGUUGUAAACUUCUUUUGCUCUGAACAAGGCAUGCUUUUGGGGUGUGUUGAGUGUAGGGGUUGAUUAGCGCCGGCUAAGUACGUGCCAGCAGCCGCGGUAAUACGUAGGGCGCGAGCGUUGUCCGGAAUUAUUGGGCGUAAAGGGCUUGUAGGUGGCUGGUUGCGUCUGUCGUGAAAGCUCAUGGCUUAACUGUGGGUUUGCGGUGGGUACGGGCUGGCUUGAGUGCAGUAGGGGAGGCUGGAAUUCCUGGUGUAGCGGUGGAAUGCGCAGAUAUCAGGAGGAAUACCGGUGGCGAAGGCGGGUCUCUGGGCUGUUACUGACGCUGAGGAGCGAAAGCGUGGGGAGCGAACAGG
This 420-nucleotide ribosomal RNA is filed under the name Fusobacteriota bacterium. RNAcentral's name for it is "Fusobacteria bacterium partial 16S ribosomal RNA". It matches the Rfam family "Bacterial small subunit ribosomal RNA", at positions 355 to 776 of the family's 1533-position model. Lineage: Bacteria; Fusobacteriati; Fusobacteriota. The record is from RNAcentral.